AGCAGUAGCCGCGGGAAUACGGAGGGUGCAAGCGUUAAUCGGAAUUACUGGGCGUAAAGCGCACGCAGGCGGUCUGACAAGUCAGAUGUGAAAUCCCCGGGCUUAACCUGGGAACUGCAUUUGAAACUGGCAAGCUAGAGUCUCGUAGAGGGGGGUAGAAUUCCAGGUGUAGCGGUGAAAUGCGUAGAGAUCUGGAGGAAUACCGGUGGCGAAGGCGGCCCCCUGGACGAAGACUGACGCUCAGGUGCGAAAGCGUGGGGAGCAAACAGGAUUAGAUACCCGGGUAGUCCCUGUCUCUUAUAC
Molecule: ribosomal RNA, 303 nt
Filed under: uncultured bacterium
Lineage: Bacteria
Description: partial 16S ribosomal RNA
Rfam family: Bacterial small subunit ribosomal RNA
Source: RNAcentral